Long non-coding RNA from Hevea brasiliensis (rubber tree), 1154 nucleotides. RefSeq lists it as uncharacterized. The record is from RefSeq and is a predicted model, not a curated record. Lineage: Eukaryota; Viridiplantae; Streptophyta; Magnoliopsida; Malpighiales; Euphorbiaceae. The transcript is spliced from 2 exons.
AUUUUUUAGUUUUGAUUUCUAAUUUUUUUUUAUUUUUAUAUUUUUAUUAUUGAGAUUUAAUAUUGAAAAUAUGAAAUUUUAUAAAAUUCGAUUUGAUCUGUUUAAAAUCGAACCGAACCGAUAUUUAUCAUUUUGGUUCGGUUCAGUUUUUUCUUAUUAAUCGAUUUGGUUUGAUUUUUAAAAUUUUUAAUUUUCGAUUUUUGAUUUUAUCGGUUCAGAACUGAACCGACCGUUUGCACACCCCUAGGAGCAAGUGUUGAUAUUUGGGUGUUUAACCAUAAGUUUUAGAUUCUAAACGAAUUGUGGGAAAUUUCAGGUUCAGUGGCUAAAAUAUGGAAGUUUGGUUGCCGAAACAUGUAAACAGUCACGUAAAUAGUGUACAGAAAGUUAGGUCGCCAAACAUUCAAAAUUCGGCUCCCAAACUUGCUUUGCCAAUGCAAAUGUGUUUCUAAUUAAAAUUGUUUAAAUAUAAAACUAAAUGUCUUAUCAAAUCAAACCUUUUCUUACAAACAAGAAUUAGGACAUGAGGGGCCAAAAAUCAAGGAAUCUAAGAGUCAUCUAGUAAUAGAUGAAAGUGUAAGAGUUGACACCAUAAGGUGAGUAGAAUGUACUAAACUCUAUUAAAAUAAAUGCUCCUCUAUGCAUACACGUGCAUUCAUGCAUCCUAACCUAUUUUAUCAAAUAUAAAUGCGUCCUUUGGUUAAUUAUGUAAAUAUUUUACGUUCACAAUUACGCUGUAUAAUUGCUUAUGUUGUUCUGGUAGUUCAUGGAUUACAAAUUGAUGCCAAAAGAAAAAAAGAAAUACAUGCAUGCUAAAUGGACUCACAAACUCCUUGAGGGAAAUGAUCCGGUGUAUAUUCCAAGAUGAGGUGGUGUGAUCCACAAGGCUCCUUGAGGGAAAUAAUCUAGUGUUUAUCCGAAGACAGAAGGCCUAGAAAAGAUGGGGAACCUGAGACGAGUAUAGAAGAUACAAUAAAUGGUUUUGCUAGCUGAGUUGUAGAGGUUAUUGCCUCAAUUUUACUGGACAUUUUGUGGAACUUCUUUUGUAAUGACAUGUAAUUUUGCUAUUGUAGUACUAUAUUUUGCCACCCAGUAUUUUGUAAUAUUAAAAUGUAAAUAUUGUUUUAUGUUAAUGAAAGUAUUUUCAUGAAUAA